ACUCCUACGGGAGGCAGCAGUGGGAAUAUUGCGCAAUGGGGGCAACCCUGACGCAGCCAUGCCGCGUGAGUGAAGAAGGCCUUAGGGUUGUAAAACUCUUUCAGUGGUGAAGAUAAUGACGGUAGCCACAGAAGAAGCCCGGCCAACUCCGUGCCAGCAGCCGCGGUAAUACGGAGGGGCGUAGCGUUGUUCGGAAUUACUGGGCGUAAAGCGCGCGUAGCGGACUGGUCAGUUGGGGUGAAAUCCGGGCAUAAGCCUCGGAACUGCCUUCAAUACUGCCAGUCUUGAGUUCGAGAGAGGUAAGCGGAAUUCCUAGUGUAGAGGUGAAAUUCGUAGAUAUUAGGAAGAACACCGGUGGCGAAGGCGGCUUACUGGCUCGAUACUGACGCUGAGGCGCGAAAGCGUGGGGAGCAAACAGGAUUAGAUACCCUGGUAGGCUCUGC
RNAcentral lists this ribosomal RNA (443 nucleotides) under uncultured bacterium. Its description in RNAcentral is "bacterial SSU rRNA". It matches the Rfam family "Bacterial small subunit ribosomal RNA", at positions 335 to 800 of the family's 1533-position model. The record is from RNAcentral.